GUGAGGAAUAUUGGUCAAUGGGCGAGAGCCUGAACCAGCCAAGUCGCGUGAAGGAAGAAGGAUCUAUGGUUCGUAAACUUCUUUUGCAGGGGAAUAAAGUGCAGGACGUGUUCUGUUUUGUAUGUACCCUGAGAAUAAGGAUCGGCUAACUCCGUGCCAGCAGCCGCGGUAAUACGGAGGAUCCGAGCGUUAUCCGGAUUUAUUGGGUUUAAAGGGUGCGUAGGUGGUUUGAUAAGUCAUCGGUGAAAGUUUGCAGCUUAACUGUAAAAAUGCCGUUGAAACUGUCGGACUUGAGUGUAAAUGAGGUAGGCGGAAUGCGUGGUGUAGCGGUGAAAUGCAUAGAUAUCACGCAGAACUCCGAUUGCGAAGGCAGCUUACUAAGCUACAACUGACACUGAAGCACGAAAGCGUGGGGAUCAAACAGGAUUAGAUACCCUAGUAGUCC
Molecule: ribosomal RNA, 445 nt
Filed under: uncultured bacterium
Lineage: Bacteria
Description: partial 16S ribosomal RNA
Rfam family: Bacterial small subunit ribosomal RNA
Source: RNAcentral